Molecule: ribosomal RNA, 273 nt
Filed under: uncultured bacterium
Lineage: Bacteria
Description: partial 16S ribosomal RNA
Rfam family: Bacterial small subunit ribosomal RNA
Source: RNAcentral
UACGUAGGGGGCGAGCGUUGUCCGGAUUUACUGGGCGUAAAGCGCGUGUAGGCGGUACUCUAAGUCCGGGGUGAAAUCCGGGGGCUUAACCCCCGAACGGCGCCGGAAACUGGAGCGCUUGAGUGUCGGAGAGGGGAGUGGAAUUCUCGGUGUAGCGGUGAAAUGCGUAGAGAUCGAGAGGAACACCCGUGGCGAAGGCGGCUCCCUGGCCGAACACUGACGCUGAGACGCGAAAGCGUGGGGAGCGAACGGGAUUAGAAACCCCAGUAGUCC